This 747-nucleotide ribosomal RNA is filed under the name uncultured bacterium. Its description in RNAcentral is "bacterial SSU rRNA". It matches the Rfam family "Bacterial small subunit ribosomal RNA", at positions 28 to 773 of the family's 1533-position model. The record is from RNAcentral.
GAUGAACGCUGGCGGCGUGCUUAACACAUGCAAGUCGAACGAAGCACUUUAUUUGAUUUCCUUCGGGACUGAUUAUUUUGUGACUGAGUGGCGGACGGGUGAGUAACGCGUGGGCAACCUGCCUUGUACAGGGGGAUAACAGUUGGAAACGGCUGCUAAUACCGCAUAAGCGCACAGCAUCACAUGAUGCAGUGUGAAAAACUCCGGUGGUAUAAGAUGGACCCGCGUUGGAUUAUCUAGUUGGUGAGGUAACGGCCCACCAAGGCGACGAUCCAUAGCCGACCUGAGAGGGUGACCGGCCACAUUGGGACUGAGACACGGCCCAAACUCCUACGGGAGGCAGCAGUGGGGAAUAUUGCACAAUGGGCGAAAGCCUGAUGCAGCGACGCCGCGUGAGCGAAGAAGUAUUUCGGUAUGUAAAGCUCUAUCAGCAGGGAAGAUAAUGACGGUACCUGACUAAGAAGCACCGGCUAAAUACGUGCCAGCAGCCGCGGUAAUACGUAUGGUGCAAGCGUUAUCCGGAUUUACUGGGUGUAAAGGGAGCGCAGGCGGUGCGGCAAGUCUGAUGUGAAAGCCCGGGGCUCAACCCCGGUACUGCAUUGGAAACUGUCGUACUAGAGUGUCGGAGGGGUAAGCGGAAUUCCUAGUGUAGCGGUGAAAUGCGUAGAUAUUAGGAGGAACACCAGUGGCGAAGGCGGCUUACUGGACGAUAACUGACGCUGAGGCUCGAAAGCGUGGGGAGCAAAC